RNAcentral lists this ribosomal RNA (1061 nucleotides) under Enterobacter cloacae subsp. cloacae GS1. Its description in RNAcentral is "bacterial LSU rRNA". It matches the Rfam family "Bacterial large subunit ribosomal RNA", at positions 1 to 1105 of the family's 2925-position model. The record is from RNAcentral. Lineage: Bacteria; Pseudomonadati; Pseudomonadota; Gammaproteobacteria; Enterobacterales; Enterobacteriaceae.
GGUUAAGCGACUAAGCGUACACGGUGGAUGCCCUGGCAGUCAGAGGCGAUGAAGGACGUGCUAAUCUGCGAAAAGCGCCGGCGAGGUGAUAUGAACCCUUGACCCGGCGAUGUCCGAAUGGGGAAACCCAGUGUGUUUCGACACACUAUCGUUAACUGAAUACAUAGGUUAACGAGGCGAACCGGGGGAACUGAAACAUCUAAGUACCCCGAGGAAAAGAAAUCAACCGAGAUUCCCCCAGUAGCGGCGAGCGAACGGGGAGCAGCCCGGAGUCUGAAUCAGCUUGUGUGUUAGUGGAACGGUCUGGAAAGUCCGACGGUACAGGGUGAUAGUCCCGUACACGAAAAUGCACAGGUUGUGAACUCGAAGAGUAGGGCGGGACACGUGGUAUCCUGUCUGAAUAUGGGGGGACCAUCCUCCAAGGCUAAAUACUCCUGACUGACCGAUAGUGAACCAGUACCGUGAGGGAAAGGCGAAAAGAACCCCGGCGAGGGGAGUGAAAAAGAACCUGAAACCGUGUACGUACAAGCAGUGGGAGCACCUUCGGGUGUGACUGCGUACCUUUUGUAUAAUGGGUCAGCGACUUAUAUUCUGUAGCAAGGUUAACCGUAUAGGGGAGCCGAAGGGAAACCGAGUCUUAACUGGGCGUUAAGUUGCAGGGUAUAGACCCGAAACCCGGUGAUCUAGCCAUGGGCAGGUUGAAGGUUGGGUAACACUAACUGGAGGACCGAACCGACUAAUGUUGAAAAAUUAGCGGAUGACCUGUGGCUGGGGGUGAAAGGCCAAUCAAACCGGGAGAUAGCUGGUUCUCCCCGAAAGCUAUUUAGGUAGCGCCUCGUGAACUCAUCUUCGGGGGUAGAGCACUGUUUCGGCUAGGGGGCCAUCCCGGCUUACCAACCCGAUGCAAACUACGAAUACCGAAGAAUGUUAUCACGGGAGACACACGGCGGGUGCUAACGUCCGUCGUGAAGAGGGAAACAACCCAGACCGCCAGCUAAGGUCCCAAAGUCAUGGUUAAGUGGGAAACGAUGUGGGAAGGCACAGACAGCCAGGAUGUUGGC